GACGAACGCUGGCGGCGUGCUUAACACAUGCAAGUCGAACGAAGAGCGAUGGAAGCUUGCUUCUAUCAAUCUUAGUGGCGAACGGGUGAGUAACGCGUAAUCAACCUGCCCUUCAGAGGGGGACAACAGUUGGAAACGACUGCUAAUACCGCAUACGAUCCAAUCUCGGCAUCGGGACUGGAUGAAAGGUGGCCUCUAUUUAUAAGCUAUCACUGAAGUAGGGGAUUGCGUCUGAUUAGCUAGUUGGAGGGGUAACGGCCCACCAAGGCGAUGAUCAGUAGCCGGUCUGAGAGGAUGAACGGCCACAUUGGGACUGAGACACGGCCCAGACUCCUACGGGAGGCAGCAGUGGGGAAUAUUCCGCAAUGGACGAAAGUCUGACGGAGCAACGCCGCGUGAGUGAUGACGGCCUUCGGGUUGUAAAGCUCUGUUAAUCGGGACGAAUGGUUCUUGUGCGAAUAGUGCGAGGAUUUGACGGUACCGGAAUAGAAAGCCACGGCUAACUACGU
Molecule: ribosomal RNA, 509 nt
Filed under: uncultured bacterium
Lineage: Bacteria
Description: partial 16S ribosomal RNA
Rfam family: Bacterial small subunit ribosomal RNA
Source: RNAcentral